Unclassified non-coding RNA from Microcebus murinus (gray mouse lemur), 102 nucleotides. It matches the Rfam family "Y RNA". Rfam says of the family: Y RNAs are components of the Ro ribonucleoprotein particle (Ro RNP), in association with Ro60 and La proteins. Lineage: Eukaryota; Metazoa; Chordata; Mammalia; Primates; Cheirogaleidae. The record is from Ensembl.
GGUUGGUCCGAGUGCAGUGGUGUUUACAACUAAUUGAUCACAACCAGUUACAGAUUCCUUUGUUCCUUCUCCACUCCCACUGCUCCACUUGACCAGCCUAAA